RNAcentral lists this ribosomal RNA (414 nucleotides) under Streptococcus thermophilus. RNAcentral's name for it is "bacterial SSU rRNA". It matches the Rfam family "Bacterial small subunit ribosomal RNA", at positions 105 to 506 of the family's 1533-position model. Lineage: Bacteria; Bacillati; Bacillota; Bacilli; Lactobacillales; Streptococcaceae. The record is from RNAcentral.
GGUGAGUAACGCGUAGGUAACCUGCCUUGUAGCGGGGGAUAACUAUUGGAAACGAUAGCUAAUACCGCAUAACAAUGGAUGACACAUGUCAUUUAUUUGAAAGGGGCAAUUGCUCCACUACAAGAUGGACCUGCGUUGUAUUAGCUAGUAGGUGAGGUAAUGGCUCACCUAGGCGACGAUACAUAGCCGACCUGAGAGGGUGAUCGGCCACACUGGGACUGAGACACGGCCCAGACUCCUACGGGAGGCAGCAGUAGGGAAUCUUCGGCAAUGGGGGCAACCCUGACCGAGCAACGCCGCGUGAGUGAAGAAGGUUUUCGGAUCGUAAAGCUCUGUUGUAAGUCAAGAACGGGUGUGAGAGUGGAAAGUUCACACUGUGACGGUAGCUUACCAGAAAGGGACGGCUAACUACGU